GAGGUACUCCGCUGUCCGAGUUUGGGCAAAGAGUAGUGUUAGUAGCCACUUGAGUUUGUGACUCCAAGUACCCGCAAGCGGGUUACCAACGAUGACACACUCAGGCAAUUGAUAAAUAUUCAAGCACAAAAAAAAAAAAAAAAUAAAUAAAUAAAUAAAAGUUCAGCAUUAUUUGUUUUGUGUGUGAUUGCAAUGAUUUUCUGUGACCAAGCUGUUUAACAAAUAAUUCUUUAAGCAAUGGUUUAAUUGAUAUGGAAUUUAAAUUGCAUGUUUAAAAUUACAAAGUUCAAGCCAGGUCUAUUAUGUUUGAAAGAAUGUGAAUUCAAUUCUUUAUUCUCCAUAGAUUUCAGAUUUGAAUAUUCAACUCAGCUUUACUUUUGUAAUUAAGGUUGCUUUUCUAAAGAUGUUCUUAUAAGAGUUGUGAAGAGUUGGGUGAAUUUCCUUUUAUGUAGAUUGAGUUUUUCCUUGAGGACAAGCAAAUAUUAAGUGUGGGGGAAUUUGAUGG
This 505-nucleotide long non-coding RNA is filed under the name Jatropha curcas. RNAcentral's name for it is "long non-coding RNA (JCUR_LNC000732)". The record is from RNAcentral. Lineage: Eukaryota; Viridiplantae; Streptophyta; Magnoliopsida; Malpighiales; Euphorbiaceae.